Molecule: ribosomal RNA, 159 nt
Filed under: Auricularia sp. PBM2295
Lineage: Eukaryota; Fungi; Basidiomycota; Agaricomycetes; Auriculariales; Auriculariaceae
Description: 5.8S ribosomal RNA
Rfam family: 5.8S ribosomal RNA
About the family: 5.8S ribosomal RNA (5.8S rRNA) is a component of the large subunit of the eukaryotic ribosome.
Source: RNAcentral
CAACUUUCAACAACGGAUCUCUUGGCUCUCGCAUCGAUGAAGAACGCAGCGAAAUGCGAUAAGUAAUGUGAAUUGCAGAAUUCAGUGAAUCAUCGAAUCUUUGAACGCACCUUGCGCUCCUUGGUAUUCCAUGGAGCAUGCCUGUUUGAGUGUCACGUA